GAUGAACGCUGGAGAUAUGCUUAACACAUGCAAGUCGAACGCAGACUUUCGGGUCUAAAUAGCGAACGAGAGAGUAACGCGAACAACUCAGGCUACAGGUUGGGGACAACCACGGGAAACGGUGGCUAAUACCCAAUGUGCCGUUAAGGUGAAAGAUUAAUUGCCUGAAGAUGAGCUCGCGUCUGAUUAGCUAGUUGGUGGGGUAAGAGCUCACCAAGGCGACGAUCAGUAGCUGGUCUGAGAGGACGAUCAGCCACACUGGGACUGAGACACGGCCCAGACUCCUACGGGAGGCAGGUGUGGGGAAUUUUCCGCAAUGGGCGAAAGCCUGACGGAGCAAUACCGCGUGAGGGAGGAAGGCUCUUGGGUGUGAAACCUCUUUUCUCAGGGAAGAAGGCAAUGACGGUACCUGAGGAAUCAGCAUCGGCUAACUCCGUG
Molecule: ribosomal RNA, 438 nt
Filed under: uncultured bacterium
Lineage: Bacteria
Description: partial 16S ribosomal RNA
Rfam family: Bacterial small subunit ribosomal RNA
Source: RNAcentral